AUGUUGGUCACUCUGCUCCUUGAGCAACCCUAAUGUAAAGAGUACCCAUCUAUGAGCCGAAUAAUCCAAGCUGGUAUUGUGAGCUGACCGCUAGACUCUAUAAAAGAAAACAAAGAAGGGUAGCACUAGCCUACAGUGGGUCUUUUGUGGUCAAGGCCCUGAACUACUGUGGUUUUCUACUGCACCUGAAACCUUAACCACGGACCAGUGCUACUCCAGUACUCCUCAUUGGGCUUGCUUCCUCUGUGGUCAGACCUUCAUCUCUGCGCCUUGUACAAAUAUGCCUGAUCACUAUUGCCAGGUCAAUGUCCUGUUGGAAGGUGGCCACAUAGUGUCGUUGGGCGACAUUAGUGUCUCUUCGAUUAUGAAAGAAAUCGCCGCGAGGGUUAAGACAAGAGCAAAUUUAGAUGAACUGAAAUUUGUCUUCCUUGGCUAUUCACGAAAUCAAGAGAUCGUCCUCUUGUCAGAAGAGACCUCCCUGGCUGAAGCGAAGGCAGCCAUUAUCAGGGAUACGGUGACCACGUCAGCAGAAAUACAGUACGGUGUGAUUUUCCAUGGACACAUCUCCGAUGAUUCAGAAGCACCCCCCGCAGGAUAGGUCAUUCCGGACCAUCGGGCUGUGAUUCAAACACAUGCAUGUCAAAGAACCAAGUCAAAGGGAAAUUGGUUCCGGACUUACAGAACGUAAUGGGAUUCAAACAACCCCCCGAGUUUGACAGGGCUAUGAAGAAGGCUCGGUCAUUUCCGUCUUACUUUAUCAAACAAGACUUCAAACCACUUGCCCCUUCUGUCUCACAAAUAUAACGACAAUGUACCCUUCAAAUUGCAUGAACUUACAAGCACGAAUCUUUUUAUCUACGAACCCUCAGUAGACAACAUGUGAUUAAUUGUGCUGUGUAACCACAUUGUUUAUAAAAUGAGAUUGGUUAGUAAAACAUCACCAAAUACUUUGAUUAAGAACAAAAACAAGACUUGCUUUUCACUUUUACAUGUUAAUUACAUUCUGUUUUUGAGUUUGA
Long non-coding RNA from Tigriopus californicus, 1019 nucleotides. RefSeq lists it as uncharacterized. NCBI's taxonomy places the organism in Eukaryota, Metazoa, Arthropoda, Copepoda, Harpacticoida, Harpacticidae. The record is from RefSeq and is a predicted model, not a curated record. The transcript has 2 exons.